RNAcentral lists this RNase P RNA (403 nucleotides) under Treponema sp. RNAcentral's name for it is "RNase P RNA component class A". It matches the Rfam family "Bacterial RNase P class A", at positions 45 to 352 of the family's 367-position model. Rfam says of the family: Ribonuclease P (RNase P) is a ubiquitous endoribonuclease, found in archaea, bacteria and eukarya as well as chloroplasts and mitochondria. Its best characterised activity is the generation of mature 5'-ends of tRNAs by cleaving the 5'-leader elements of precursor-tRNAs. Cellular RNase Ps are ribonucleoproteins. The record is from RNAcentral. Lineage: Bacteria; Pseudomonadati; Spirochaetota; Spirochaetia; Treponematales; Treponemataceae.
GGAAAGUCCGGGCUCCGCAGGGCAUGAUGCCGGGUAAUACCCGGGGCCGGUAAUUUUGCCGGAACAGAAAGCGCAACAGAAAGUAUACCGCCAGAGUUAGAAAACUUCGGUUUUUUGGCUCUGGUAAGGGUGAAAUGGCGGGGUAAGAGCCCACCUCGGCAGCGGCAACGCUGCUGGAAAAUGGCAAGCCUCAUCAGGAGCAAAGUCAAGUAUGCGUAGCCGGAAACUUAAGUUUUCAGGCGCCGGCGGCCCGCCGGUUUAACGCGGGUAGACUGCAUAGAGAAAACCGGCGACGGUUUUCCCAGACAGAUGGCGUUACGGAGACCUGCCUCAAUGCUGAGGGAUUUGCGUUGCAAACUCAAGGCGUGGCGCGGUUUGCGACAGAACCCGGCUUAUGAUACAU